RNAcentral lists this long non-coding RNA (556 nucleotides) under Homo sapiens (human). RNAcentral's name for it is "non-protein coding lnc-DCHS1-1:4". Lineage: Eukaryota; Metazoa; Chordata; Mammalia; Primates; Hominidae. The record is from RNAcentral.
GAGAAAUUGAGAGGGCUCGGGAGAAAGGGAUCACGUUGGAGGGAGCACACAUUGGGAGGGUGGGAACACAAGGACAACGUAGCUCCCACUGAAACCCACCUGCUGCCCCUACAGCCUCCUAGGGCUCUUUGCCCUCAUCCUCUCUGGCAAAUGCAGUUACAGCCCGGAGCCCGACCAGCGGAGGACGCUGCCCCCAGGCUGGGUGUCCCUGGGCCGUGCGGACCCUGAGGAAGAGCUGAGUCUCACCUUUGCCCUGAGACAGCAGAAUGUGGAAAGACUCUCGGAGCUGGUGCAGGCUGUGUCGGAUCCCAGCUCUCCUCAAUACGGUGCCUUUUGGGACUGAGGACAGGAUGUGGGAUGCGGUGGAGGGACACAGGGCUGGGUUGGGCAUGGGAUGGCGAUCAUGUCAGAGCCUGCCAAGACACUUGUGUUCCUCAGGCUAGAAACCUAAAAGGGGAUGUGGUUCAGUAUACAGGCUUUAUGAUCAAAUACGAACUCAAAUUCUGACUCUGCUACUUACUAGCUACCAGGCAUCUAGUACAACUUACGUUCCUUC